Long non-coding RNA from Oreochromis niloticus (Nile tilapia), 1766 nucleotides. RefSeq lists it as uncharacterized. Lineage: Eukaryota; Metazoa; Chordata; Actinopteri; Cichliformes; Cichlidae. The transcript has 2 exons. The record is from RefSeq and is a predicted model, not a curated record.
ACCAGUGCUGGCUUGAAAUGGGCGUCAUUAUGCAUCUCAGCCAAUGAGAGCAUUGAGGGUGGGCCUCAUACUACUGCAGCGCUCACAUGACCCAGGACAGAAAGAAAGGGGCGGGGACAGAAACAUGGAGACAGGUACAGAUCUUUGACAUGUUCAUUUUAAACUGUUCCAGAGGGCAGUGUUGAUACAACUAAAGUUAUUUGGAACCAAAGUUGAGUUUCUUAUCAUCGGAGUACUUCAUGUCUGAAGUAUCACUUAAAUGCAUUGCACGCUGUUGAUGGCAGCAAACAAACCCAAACAAACAGAGGUGGGAAGCUUGGGCAGACUACGUUGGAUCAGCUUGUGGGAGGAGUCUAGAUAAACCAAAGAAAGACAAGCUAACAAACGCCACAGUGAAGUGAGUAGCUACAAACUGCAGGCCGAUUAGUGUUGUUGAAGAAGUCGGUCUGAGGAACGUUCUUAGGAUCAACAAAUGACGGCAUGUAUGAGCCUCAAGACGCACCAUCACAAAAAGAACACAUGAGCUGUAGAAAAAGGAGAGACUACGAAAGCCACGGUGUUACAACGUGCACCAGCUGUUGGUCUCUCUGGAGACUACUGGACGUAGCUGGGUAACCAUGGUUACCUGGGAGUUACAGAAACAUGCAGAACAUGUGAUUCAUGUUGCACAGCAGUGGGACAUUUGAAAUAAAGUCAGCACACUCAGUACAGAUAGUGCAUCAAAUAUGAUGCUGCUGCCAGACGUCUGCCUUUGAACACGUCCCUGCAUCGCGCACAACACCAAGGUUGCCAUGGCAAUCACAGCUAACAGGGACAACGUGCACAGCUGGAACCCUGCAGGUGAUGGAGAGCUCAGAUGAUGACCCCGCCUACGUGGUCAAAUUCAAGUCUACAUUCAGACCAGACCUGGAGACACGCAAGCAAAAUGCCAACAUUGUAUAUGUGAAACCUGCUGCUGCACUGGAGCCAGAUUCAAGGAGCUCAAGUGUUUACCCAGAUCUUACUGAACUUACUGAAGGAACAGAGGGUUGUUGGAGGGAAACCUGUGGAAGCAACAACAUCUGAGCCACCAGAGAAAAAGUUGGCCCUAUUGGCUGCUUCAUCAGAGUGUGAACAGGAGGAAGACUCAGCUGAGAACAGUGUGGUGGAUACAGAGCAGAGCCCACCAUCAGUACAGAGGCCUGUCCAUUAGAGUGCUGCUCCAAACAUGCAGCACAUGUACUUGGCCACAGCUGCAACAUCUGUACCUGUGAAAGGUUGUUCUCUGUUGCUGCUCAUAUUGUACAGAAGAAGAGAGUUUCUUUAUCAUCAGAAAAUGUCAGUGAGCUUGUGAGUCUUAGCAGCUGGCUCAGUGCAGAGGAGGAAGAACAUGUCAAGUCAGAGGAAGAUAAAUGAAGUUCAUGUUGUCAACUCAACCUGGACGACUGAAAGUGUUUUUCUUUGUCUUGUUUCUGACUGAGAUUCUCCAAAGGAAAUCCAGUACAAACACACACUUCACACACUCAAAGUCCUGCACAGUAAAUGAGCUGAUGAGCGUUUGUGCUGCUGCCUGAUAACAGAAAAAUAGUUCUGCUGGUUCCUGUUCUGAAAACACACAUUUAUAAAUGUUCACUCGCUGUUGAUCAAAGGUGCCUGUUAUAAUGUUAUGAUGGUGGCUCUGGACUCUGAGGGGAACUUUGUUUGGAACAAACUAGAUCAAAUGUUGACGUCCUGGCAGAGGCAAAGAACUUUGAUUUGAUAUUUGAUUUGAUUAGAUUCAUGUUUCA